GCGCUUGUGGCGAAAUUGGUAGACGCGCUGUCUUCAGGCGGCAGUUCCGAAAGGUGUGAGAGUUCGAGUCUCUCCGAGCGCACCA
Molecule: transfer RNA, 85 nt
Filed under: Hymenobacter erythromyxa
Lineage: Bacteria; Pseudomonadati; Bacteroidota; Cytophagia; Cytophagales; Hymenobacteraceae
Also listed under: 4 other names
Description: Hymenobacter sp. DG25A tRNA-Leu
Rfam family: tRNA
About the family: Transfer RNA (tRNA) molecules are approximately 80 nucleotides in length.
Source: RNAcentral